This 3415-nucleotide small RNA is filed under the name Pongo abelii (Sumatran orangutan). RNAcentral's name for it is "retained intron". The record is from RNAcentral. Lineage: Eukaryota; Metazoa; Chordata; Mammalia; Primates; Hominidae.
UUCCAAGCGAACUGGCCAAUGAGAUCCCCGUGUGAGUAGAGCUCAGCCCCCACCUGCUCCCUCUCACUCCCACUCCUCCAUCCUUCCUGGUGGGGAGCAGAGUCCUGAGCCCCCGGGGAACUUUCCAUCCCUCGUGGUGGAGGAUGGGGGUCCGGCGCUAUUCGGCUGCAAGAGGCUGUUUCCUGCCUCAGAAGUGCAGCCGCCCCUCCCAGGGCACAGGCCGAGGGUCGCCCCACAGCCAACCCCCACCACUGAGGCUGUACACACCUGUGUGCAUGCAUGUCCGUGUCCGUGUGCACGUCCGUGUGUGUGAACAUGCAGGUGUGUCUACGUAUAUGGGGUGGAUGUGCAAGUGUGUGUGACUGCAUCCGUGUGUGUGCAUGGGUCCAUGUAUGUGUACAUGAGGGAGACACGCAGGUGUGUGUCCGUGUGUGUGUGUACAUGAGGGAGACAAGCAGGUGUGUGUCCGUGUGUGUGUGUGCAUGCAUGGGUCCGUGUGUGGUACAUGAGGGAGACACACAGGUGUGUGUGUGCACAAUGGGUCCUUGUAUGUGUGUGUACAUGAGGGAGACAUGCAGGUGUGUGUCCGUGUGUGUGUGUGCAUGGGUCCAUGUGUGUGUGUACAUGAGGGAGACACGCAGGUGUGUGUCCGAGUGUGUGCACAUGGGUCCAUGUGUGUGUACAUGAGGGAGACACGCAGGUGUGUGUGCACAUGGGUCCUUGUAUGUGUGUGUACAUGAGGGAGACACGCAGGUGUACGUGUGUGUGUGUGUACGGGUCCAUGUAUGUGUGUGUACCUGAGGGAGACACGCAGGUGUGUGUCUGUGUGUGCAUGGGUCCGUGUAUAUGUGUGUAUAUAUGGGGGGAUAUGUAGAUGUGUGUGUGUGUGAACAGAUGUAAGUGGGGAGCAUUCAGGUGUGUCCGUGUGUGUUCAUGUACACGUGUGUAUAUGUGUGAACACAGGUGCGUGUGUGUCCAUGUGUAGGUUUGCGUGCAUGCACACAUGCAUGUGUGUAUUGGGGCAUCCGAGCCCCUGGUCUCCACUACAUACCACCCUACACGUACCUGCUUGAUCUCUGUGCCCAGCUGUGGGUGUGUUCCCCUGCUGUCUGCACGUGGCUGUGUUCCCCUGCUGUCUGCAUGUGGGUGUGUUCCCCUGCUGUCUGCACGUGGGUGUCUGCACGUGGGUGUCUGCACGUGGGUGUAUGCAUCCUCACGUGUCUGUGCCCUCACGUGUCUGCACCCUCAUGUGUCUCAUGUCUGCCCUCAUGUCUCGUGUCUGUGCCCUCACGUGUCUCAUGUCUGCGCCCUCACGUGUUUCGUGUCCGCACGGUGUCUGCGCAAGCAUGUGUAGGUGUCCCUGCUGGGCUCUUUGGUGGGCGGCCAAUGAUCCUCGAGGUCACGCAUGUCUUCUGUGGGUGCCUGCUCCUUGCACCCCACAGUGUUGAGACGGGUUUGCAUUGGCCCCACCUGUCCCCUGCUCACCCGCCUCCCUCUCUUCCUGCUUCUAAGCCCCGAAACUCUGGAUUCCGGGGCCCUUCACAGGUGAGCACGUGGCAGCAGUGCCUGCAGACCCCCGGCUGGCCCAUCUGUCCCCCCGCCCCUCUCUCUGCCAGGCUGCCCCUGUCUCCAUCCUUCUUCUCCCUCCCAGUGUCGGUGUCUGCCCACCAGCCACCCCUGGGUCCCAUCACAGCCCUUGUGGCCUCUGCAGCUGGGGCCCUUGUCCUCCCACCUCCCCCACCCUGUCCUGUUGCCACCUUCCUAGAGGCCCUGACCUGCCCUCUGCCCUCCAGCGAGAAGGCACUGCAGAGCAACCACUUUGAACUGAGCCUGCGCACUGAGGCCACGCAGGGGCUGGUGCUCUGGAGUGGCAAGGCCACGGAGCGGGCAGACUACGUGGCGCUGGCCAUUGUGGACGGGCACCUGCAGCUGAGCUACAACCUGGGCUCCCAGCCCGUGGUGCUGCGUUCCACCGUGCCCGUCAACACCAACCGCUGGUUGCGGGUCGUGGCACAUAGGGAGCAGAGGGAAGGUUCCCUGCAGGUGGGCAAUGAGGCCCCUGUGACCGGCUCUUCCCCACUGGGCGCCACGCAGCUGGACACUGAUGGAGCCCUGUGGCUUGGGGGCCUGCCGGAGCUGCCCGUGGGCCCAGCACUGCCCAAGGCCUACGGCACAGGCUUUGUGGGCUGCUUGCGGGACGUGGUGGUGGGCCGGCGCCCGCUGCACCUGCUGGAGGACGCCGUCACCAAGCCAGAGCUGCGGCCCUGCCCCACCCCAUGAGCUGGCACCAGAGCCCCGUGCCCGUUGUAAUUAUUUUCUAUUUUUGUAAACUUGUCGCUUUUUGAUAUGAUUUUGUUGCCUGAGUGUUGGCCGGAGGGACUGCUGGCCCGGCCUCCCUUCCAUCCAGGCAGCCGUGCUGCAGACAGACCUGGUGCCGAGGCAUGGACAGGCGAGGUGGCAGCGUGGAGGGCUCGGCGUGGACGGCAGCCUCAGGACACACACCCCUGCCUCAGGGUGCUGAGCCCCCGCCUCGCACUGCACCUGCCCCCCGGUGUCCCCGCCGGGAAGCAGCCCCAGCUCCUGAAUCACCCUCGCUCCGUCAGCCGGGGCUCGUGUCCCAUAGAGGAAGGGGCUGCUGAGGUCUGAUGGGGCCCUUCCUCCGGGCGACCCCACAGGGCCUUUCCAAGCCCCCAUUUGAGCUGCUCCUUCGUGUAUGUGCUCUGGGCCCUGCCUUGGCCUCCUGUGCCAAUACUGUGACUUCGAAACAAUGUUACUGCUGGGCAGCUCUGCAUUGCUCCAGUGCUGCCUGCGCCAGCCCCAGGCUGCUGAGGAGCAGAGGCCAGACCAGGGCCGGUCUGGGUGCCCUGACCCUCAGCUGGCCGUGCCCAACCACCCUGGACGUGGCCGUAUCCCUCUGCCACAUCCUAGGCCCUGCGAGGGGCUAUCGAGAGGAGCUCACUGUGGGAUGGGGUUGACCUCUGCUGCCUGCCUGGGUAUCUGGGCCUGGCCACCGGCUGUGUUCAUGUGUUGAUUUUAUUUGACCCCUGGAGUGGUGGGUCUCAUCUUUCCCGUCUCGCCUGAGAGCGGCUGAGGGCUGCCUCACUGCAAAUCCUCCCCACAGCGUCAAUGAAAGUCGUCCUUGUCUCAGAAUGACCAGGGGCCAGCCAGUGUCUGACCAAGGUCAAGGGGCAGGUGCAGCAGUGGCAGAGAUGGCUCCGAAGCCAGAAAUGCCUUAAACUGCAACGUCCCGUCCCUUCCCCACCCCCAUCCCAUCCCCACCCCCAGCCACAGCCCCAGCCCAGUCCUCCUAGGAGCAGGACCCCAUGAACCGGGCGGCGGGUGGGGGCUGGGCGCCAUGUUACUAACUCUAGUACGUUUCUGUGUCGAUCGCUGUGAAAUAAAGUCUGAAAACUUU